RNAcentral lists this ribosomal RNA (515 nucleotides) under uncultured Pelagibacterales bacterium. RNAcentral describes it as "bacterial SSU rRNA". It matches the Rfam family "Bacterial small subunit ribosomal RNA", at positions 89 to 638 of the family's 1533-position model. The record is from RNAcentral. Lineage: Bacteria; Pseudomonadati; Pseudomonadota; Alphaproteobacteria; Candidatus Pelagibacterales.
UACUUAGUGGCAGACGGGUGAGUAACAUGUAGGUAUCUUCCCAUUGGUGAGGAAUAACACGAGGAAACUUGUGCUAAUACCUCAUAAGUCUUUACGGAGAAAGCUUUAUGCGCCGAUGGAUGAGCCUGCACUUGAUUAGUUUGUUGGUAGGGUAAUGGCCUACCAAGACAAUGAUCAAUAGCUGAUUUGAGAGGAUGAUCAGCCACAUUGGGACUGAGACACGGCCCAAACUCCUACGGGAGGCAGCAGUAGGGAAUCUUGCACAAUGGGGGAAACCCUGAUGCAGCGAUGCCGCGUGAGUGAAGAAGGCCUUUGGGUUGUAAAGCUCUUUCGUCGGGGAAGAAAAUGACUGUACCCGAAUAAGAAGGUCCGGCUAACUUCGUGCCAGCAGCCGCGGUAAUACGAAGGGACCUAGCGUAGUUCGGAAUUACUGGGCUUAAAGAGUUCGUAGGCGGUUAAAAAAGUUGGUGGUGAAAUCCCAGAGCUUAACUCUGGAACUGCCAUCAAAACUUUUU